RNAcentral lists this ribosomal RNA (460 nucleotides) under uncultured bacterium. Its description in RNAcentral is "partial 16S ribosomal RNA". It matches the Rfam family "Bacterial small subunit ribosomal RNA", at positions 338 to 795 of the family's 1533-position model. The record is from RNAcentral.
CCUACGGGAGGCAGCAGUGAGGAAUAUUGGUCAAUGGACGAGCGUCUGCACCAGCCACGUAGCGUGAAGGAUGACUGCUCUAUGGGUGGUAAACUUCUUUUAUAUGGGAAUAACAUGUUCCACGUGUGGGAUUUUGUAUGUACCAUAUGAAUAAGGACCGGCUAACUCCGUGCCAGCAGCCGCGGUAAUACGGAGGAUCCGAGCGUUAUCCGGAUUUAUUGGGUUUAAAGGGAGCGUAGGUGGAUUGUUAAGUCAGUUGUUAAAGUGUGCGGCUCAACCGUAAAAUUGCAGUUGAAACUGGCAGUCUUGAGUACAGUAGAGGUGGGCGGAAUUCGUGGUGUAGCGGUGAAAUGCUUAGAUAUCACGAAGAACUCCGAUGGCGAAGGCAGUUCACUGGACUGCAACUGACACUGAGGCUCGAAAGUGUGGGUAUCAAACAGGAUUAGAUACCCCUGUAGUC